RNAcentral lists this long non-coding RNA (447 nucleotides) under Canis lupus familiaris (dog). RNAcentral's name for it is "lncRNA (ENSCAFG00030024387.1)". The record is from RNAcentral. Lineage: Eukaryota; Metazoa; Chordata; Mammalia; Carnivora; Canidae.
AUGAGGGAUGAACAGCAAUGCCCUGAAUUCCAGCUGACCUUCUACAGAGAAGUGCUUGACUGCCAGAUAAGCAGAAUAAAAGCCAACACCAAACUGUCCAAUCAUGGAUAUGUCUGCACCAGCCUGAAGAGCCUCCAUGAAUGCUUUAGUGCCAGACUUGGCAAUGGUUCUCAAAUUAUUUAUGAGAUCAGCUUUGGUCAUACCAAUGCCUGUGUCCACCAGAAUCAGGGUGCGUUCCUAGGGGUUAGGGAAGAUGUCAAUUUUCAGCUCUUUACCACUGUCCAACUUGGAAGGGUCUGUCAGGCUUUCAUAGCGAAUCUUGUCCAAGGCAUCAGAAGCAUUACUGAUCAACUCUCGAAGAAAAAUUUCCUUGUUAGAAUAGAAAGUAUUGAUGAUGAGGGACCUGAGCUGGGAAAUUUCUGCCUGGAAGGCAAAGAGUUUAAUUAA